UCAAACUUGGUCAUUUAGAGGAAGUAAAAGUCGUAACAAGGUCUCCGUUGGUGAACCAGCGGAGGGAUCAUUACAGAGAGCUCCUGCUCCCUAAACCCACUGUGAACAUACCUAUCUGUUGCCUCGGCGGACGUCCCGGGUGCCCGUCUCGACGGGUGGCCGGACCCAGGCGCCGCCGGAGGACCCCCAAACUUGUCGGAUUAGAGACUGUCUGAGUGGCGCAAGCAAAUCAAUCAAAACUUUCAACAACGGAUCUCUUGGUUCUGGCAUCGAUGAAGAACGCAGC
RNAcentral lists this unclassified non-coding RNA (286 nucleotides) under uncultured fungus. RNAcentral describes it as "partial contains small subunit ribosomal RNA, internal transcribed spacer 1, and 5.8S ribosomal RNA". The stretch from base 1 to 73 matches the Rfam family "Eukaryotic small subunit ribosomal RNA", at positions 1759 to 1831 of the family's 1831-position model. The record is from RNAcentral. Lineage: Eukaryota; Fungi.